This is a ribosomal RNA of Ictidomys tridecemlineatus (thirteen-lined ground squirrel), 129 nucleotides long. The record is from Ensembl. Lineage: Eukaryota; Metazoa; Chordata; Mammalia; Rodentia; Sciuridae.
AUUUAUAGCCUUACAACCCUGAAUGUACCCAGUUUCCUCUGAUCUCAGAAGCUAAGUGGAGUCGGGCGUGGCUAGUACUUGGAAGAGGUAUUAAGGGCAUGACUCCAAGGAAACCUGAUGCUCCUAAUG